This 1013-nucleotide long non-coding RNA is filed under the name Gallus gallus (chicken). Lineage: Eukaryota; Metazoa; Chordata; Aves; Galliformes; Phasianidae. The record is from RNAcentral.
CUCCUUUAUGUGCAGAUUGAUCAGUUCUUUAGGAACAUGGAAGGAGAGGAUGGUCUCAGCCAUCUGUUCCCGGAUCCGCAUCCACUUGUUGUCAGAAGUAGGAAAUCUGUACAACUUACAGAUCGGGUUUUUUAACACUGCAUUUAAUGAAGGCAAGUUGUCUUUACCACUUAUGCCUUCAGAUGCUGUACACUCACGAACCAAUGCACACUUUUGAUCCUGUGAAUCUGUUGUGACGUGGCCUGGUUCCCCAUCUUCUAGCUCUCCCAUGUUCACUAGAUUGACUUCAAUGGUACCAACUGUCUUUCCACCAUCGGAAGUUCUGAGGGUAAGGGUCAACUGUUGCUCCUUUGACUUCACCAAGUCUCCUACUGUAAAAGUUGUAAAGCCCAGGAAGCUUCUUCCAACGUCUGUUCUUGGCUCCUUGUGAUCAGGUAGGACAGUGGUAUGGACCGUGUCUUGAGAUUUAUCUUUGACAUCAUAGACUGUGAGUUUUAUUUUAGUUUCUUCAUAGAUGGGGUAUUCCGGUGGGAAUGUCACACCAGUCAGAAACAGUGGAUCUCUUGUUCCCUCCACGAUUUCAGUACUUGAAUACCUCGUCAAAACGUGCUCUGCUGGAUGUACCACUGAGACUUGUAUAAACGUAUUCAGCUUCCGAUCACGGGUAGCAGCCACUAGAUCCUUGCAUGCAAGACUGAACUCCAGCUUUGGCUCAUUUGCAAUUCUCUGAAUACUCGUAAGCUGUGGCUCUCCUAGACUGUCUAUUUGUGAUGAAGGGAGAAACUGUUGUGCUUCAUCUGAUGCUCUCUCCUCUUUGAUCUCCAUGAUCAACCUCCAGGCUGAUGAAUUUUAUUCCUCAAUCUUUGAGUUUGCCUCUCCCAGUGCCACAGCCCAAGAUUCACAAUCUGCUUUUGAUGCAGCUUCGGGGUAAAGAUCUGGUCCUCCACUCUGAAAUUCAGUGAGAAUUAUUUAAACAUCUGUUUUACACUUGAACUCCAGAACCCAGCACCGCU